Molecule: unclassified non-coding RNA, 444 nt
Filed under: Allium ursinum (ramson)
Lineage: Eukaryota; Viridiplantae; Streptophyta; Magnoliopsida; Asparagales; Amaryllidaceae
Description: partial external transcribed spacer
Source: RNAcentral
GGGUUGUGAUCGUGGCGGCAUGUGAGUAGUUAUUGAUGUGAGUUUUUUGUCAGGCUCGCCGUUUUUUUCGGCCAACUGACGAAUUUCAUCUCUUUUAUGUCCACGCAAUUAGAUUAAUUGUUGGGUUUAUUGUUGCCCUCAUGGAAAAUUUAUCUAGUUUGGAUUUAAGUGUCAAAUGAUUUUAUUAUAUACCGUUCCUCCUCUUAUCCAAAGUUUCUAUGAGCGGUGUAUGAAGCUGGAUAUUUCUUUGGUAGUUUGAUUACAUUCAGAAAGUAAUCUUUUAUCGUUAAUCUGCCUAAUAUUUUACGGAUGUUGUGCAUGCUUAAGUUUUUGGGGAAGCCUUGUUGUGGAUUAUGUAAUUCGGUUUUGUCCUCAUUUUGUGAAAGAUGCCUACAUGUGUCGUGGCUCUCUAUUUUUUUGGUGGAGUGCAGACGUCAUUGUGUC